CAUGCAAGUCGAACGGUAACAGGCCGAUGGGAGCCCUUCGGGGUGACCUUGGUGCUGACGAGUGGCGGACGGGUGAGUAACGCGUAGGAAUCUGCCUGGCAGCGGGGGACAACUCCGGGAAACCGGAGCUAAUACCGCAUACGCCCUACGGGGGAAAGAUGGGGAUCUUCGGACCUGUCACUGCCAGAUGAGCCUGCGUUAGAUUAGUUUGUUGGUAGGGUAAUGGCCUACCAAGACGACGAUCUAUAGCUGGUCUGAGAGGAUGAUCAGCCACACUGGGACUGAGACACGGCCCAGACUCCUACGGGAGGCAGCAGUGGGGAAUAUUGGACAAUGGGCGGAAGCCUGAUCCAGCAAUGCCGCGUGUGUGAAGAAGGCCUUAGGGUUGUAAAGCACUUUCAAUUGGGAAGAAAAGUAUACGGUUAAUACCCGUGUACCUUGACGGUACCUUUAUAAGAAGCACCGGCUAACUCCGUGCCAGCAGCCGCGGUAACACGGAGGGUGCAAGCGUUAAUCGGAAUUACUGGGCGUAAAGCGCACGCAGGCGGUUUGCUAAGUCAGAUGUGAAAUCCCCGGGCUUAACCUGGGAACUGCAUUUGAUACUGGCAAACUAGAGUAUGGUAGAGAGAAGUAGAAUUCCACAUGUAGCGGUGAAAUGCGUAGAGAUGUGGAGGAAUAUCAGUGGCGAAGGCGGCUUCUUGGACCAAUACUGACG
RNAcentral lists this ribosomal RNA (715 nucleotides) under uncultured bacterium. RNAcentral's name for it is "bacterial SSU rRNA". It matches the Rfam family "Bacterial small subunit ribosomal RNA", at positions 54 to 745 of the family's 1533-position model. The record is from RNAcentral.